UACGAAGGGGGCUAGCGUUGCUCGGAAUCACUGGGCGUAAAGCGCACGUAGGCGGCUUUCUAAGUCAGGGGUGAAAUCCUGGAGCUCAACUCCAGAACUGCCUUUGAUACUGGAGAGCUUGAGUCUGGGAGAGGUGAGUGGAACUCCGAGUGUAGAGGUGAAAUUCGUAGAUAUUCGGAAGAACACCAGUGGCGAAGGCGGCUCACUGGCCCGGUACUGACGCCGAGGUGCGAAAGCGUGGGGAGCAAACAGG
RNAcentral lists this ribosomal RNA (253 nucleotides) under uncultured bacterium. RNAcentral describes it as "partial 16S ribosomal RNA". It matches the Rfam family "Bacterial small subunit ribosomal RNA", at positions 524 to 776 of the family's 1533-position model. The record is from RNAcentral.